Larimichthys crocea (large yellow croaker) is the source of this 312-nucleotide long non-coding RNA. RefSeq lists it as uncharacterized. The record is from RefSeq and is a predicted model, not a curated record. The transcript is spliced from 3 exons. NCBI's taxonomy places the organism in Eukaryota, Metazoa, Chordata, Actinopteri, Sciaenidae.
CUCCCUCUCAGCAUGUGUAUAAAUAUGAGUGAUUGAAGGAGGAGCUGCAGUGUUAGUGGUAGAGUUUGUAGUAUUUUCAGUAGUAGUAUGAGUAGGCCCUCCCCCUCAGUGUGUGUAUAAAUAUGAGUGAUUGAAGGAGGAGCUGCAGCUCUUCAGCUUCGUUUCUUUAGCUGAACAGAAAACUCUCCAACAGCAGCAUGCUGCCACCGAACCUGUUGAUCGUGUCGAUAGUCAUUUUUCUGACGACAACCAUUUCUACGGCCCCUGUGGAGGAAAAGGAGCAGGAAGAGGUGGAGGUGGAGGCCACUGAGG